This 497-nucleotide ribosomal RNA is filed under the name uncultured bacterium. Its description in RNAcentral is "partial 16S ribosomal RNA". It matches the Rfam family "Bacterial small subunit ribosomal RNA", at positions 28 to 507 of the family's 1533-position model. The record is from RNAcentral.
GAUGAACGCUGGCGGCGUGCCUAAUACAUGCAAGUCGAGCGAACAGACGAGGAGCUUGCUCCUCUGACGUUAGCGGCGGACGGGUGAGUAACACGUGGAUAACCUGCCUAUAAGACUGGGAUAACUUCGGGAAACCGGAGCUAAUACCGGAUAAUAUAUUGAACCGCAUGGUUCAAUAGUGAAAGACGGUUUUGCUGUCACUUAUAGAUGGAUCCGCGCCGCAUUAGCUAGUUGGUAAGGUAACGGCUUACCAAGGCAACGAUGCGUAGCCGACCUGAGAGGGUGAUCGGCCACCCUGGAACUGAGACACGGUCCAGACUCCUACGGGAGGCAGCAGUAGGGAAUCUUCCGCAAUGGGCGAAAGCCUGACGGAGCAACGCCGCGUGAGUGAUGAAGGUCUUCGGAUCGUAAAACUCUGUUAUUAGGGAAGAACAAAUGUGUAAGUAACUAUGCACGUCUUGACGGUACCUAAUCAGAAAGCCACGGCUAACUACGUG